This 1456-nucleotide long non-coding RNA is filed under the name Rhinolophus ferrumequinum (greater horseshoe bat). RNAcentral's name for it is "lncRNA (ENSRFEG00010007404.1)". The stretch from base 154 to 290 matches the Rfam family "CDKN2B antisense RNA 1 convserved region 3". The record is from RNAcentral. Lineage: Eukaryota; Metazoa; Chordata; Mammalia; Chiroptera; Rhinolophidae.
AUUCCACGGUGGAUAAUAAGAUCUAGUUUACAAGGACAGAUUUGGAUGGAAAGAGCAGUUACACUGUACUUCUGGGAAUCUAUUAGCCAAGUUUGCUGUGCUUGACACGAGUGCGAGGCCUCACCUUACUUGCUGACUGGACUAGCCCAACAGGUUCUACAGAAUAAACCCCAUUCUGUCUCAGCUGUGGAGAUCAAUGAAAAGACUCUGUCUUCUUGCCGCCAGAUAUGUUACCUGCACUUAGAGAAUUGAAAGUGCAAAUCAAAGGAGUGUUCUUUUGGGAAGAGAGUUUUAGCGGAAAGGUCUGGAUGCUGGUGAACUGAUGAGGAAGCAGCAGUUAUUUCUGAGAUUUAACUUUGACCUGGGCUUUGAAGAGACACCCAUUCACCACUGUUGCAACUGCAUGCUUCCAGGAACUGGAGAGCAGAAGAACUUACAACUUUUGAUGAAUUCAUCAAGCAAAAGGCCAGGACACAUUGACACAAGGGCUGAAGCCAGGCACACCAAGGGAGGACAUCCGAGGUUUGGGAAGCCUGCUAGGAUUCAGUGCCUUGUUGAGCAAAAGAGAAGAGAAGCCAACACUGGUAGAAUGGAGAAUCGCUGAUUAUGACAGCAGCCUGCUCAGCUGUACGGAGCCACCACGUUGAUAAAGCAGGAGGAGAGAAGGCGAGCACUCCAAAUUACUGCUGGAAGCUUGGCUGUUUCUCUAAGUCUCAGCUGGCUUCCACCCCUCAUUGCUGCACUGGUGGUGUCCCUUCCAUCUUUUUAAAUGCACAGACCACAGCUUCUGAUACCAGAGAAAAGAAGCGGGUUUAUACAAAGCUUAUUUGUUGAAAGUAUUCUUAAGGAUGACUCUCAGCACGGUAUCUGCUCUAUUUGUUUACAUUCUUGGUAGGGAUUUUUUUUCGCUUCUACUCUCAAUUUCUCCUUGUACAGGAGAAGCCAAGCUGAUAGUUGCUAAAAGACACAAAGUGAUGAAUUUGAUUUUAGUUUAUACCAAGCUUCAGUCAAACUGACAAUACAGACUUGAAAUUAAUUGCAAAAAAUUUAAACUCCAUUAAUGAUGCAGAGCUCCCAAAAGCCAAACAAGAUUUUUUUUAACUCCCUUCAGCAUAGCUGGCCGGUUAUAUAACACACAUUUGUUCUAAAAUUACUGCAGAAAUUACUGAAAAAGCCAUGGCAGACAUCUCCAGCAUCUUCCUAAUGAAUUAAUUAUUGCUUUUGUUUUUCUCACAGUAUCCUGAGCAUUAUCAACAUUUCUGUCUAAAAAUAAAAUAACACUAUUUUCUAUAUUAUAAGAAUUUCUCAGUACAUUUGAACCUUAUAAGAACCUUAUGAUAUGCACAUUAUAAUUCUCAUUUUGCAGUGGAGACAAGAUCAGUGAAGUUAAGUGCUUUAUCCAAGGACACACAGCCAGUAAACCAAUAAAACCAGAUUCUCAAUUUUUGUACACUGA